This 244-nucleotide unclassified non-coding RNA is filed under the name Hevea brasiliensis (rubber tree). Lineage: Eukaryota; Viridiplantae; Streptophyta; Magnoliopsida; Malpighiales; Euphorbiaceae. The record is from RNAcentral.
GGCGUUUACCACACCGUCGAUCGUCUCCCUCUCGUUUGCGGUCCUUACCGUGUUCCCUUUCUCCUGAAUUUCCCCGGCUCCGGCGAACACGUCCGCGGCGAAGUUUACGCCGUUUCCGCUCGUGGAUUAAUCCGUAUGGAUGAAUUAGAAGGAAUCACCCGAUCCCAUUACGAGAGACUUCCAAUCGAAAUCCGAUCUGAAUCAGAAUCGGAAUCGGAGAAGACAAUGGAGGUGGAAGCGUAUU